AGUACUCAACAAGACUUAACCGACUAGAAAAGAGGUGAAGACUCAGGUAUGCAGGCUAUAGGGAUUUAAGGUAAGGCUUUAGCAAGAUCAAAGCAUUUCUUUUGCAUAAAAGCUUACUAAGAGUAAAACCUACUUUCAAGUUUUAACUCAAGAUCAUCAUUUAUGACUAACCAAAAUUAUUAUCAAACUUUCAUAAGCAAACCACCUCUUUCUUAUACCAAAGUUCAUUUAUUACUACGAUGAUGGUGUGAGGAUUGAGGCUCCAUAUCCGAGGAAACACGGCGAUUCGAAUCGAUUAAACCCAGCUGGGAUUCAGUACCACACGACAUAUGUAGAACUUAAUCUUGCAUAUGUCAACCUGUUUCUAUAGAUCCUCCCAUACAAGAACGGGUCCAGCGUCACCCGAGAGUACAGUACACCACCAUCCUACAGCCAAUCUAGAUGUUUCCCGGUCAUCUCAGAUCCGUAAGGUGGGUACACGCUACUCUCGCCAUCUCUCCACUCCCAGUACGCGGUUAGCCGUUCUCAAGUAUCGGAAUAGCUAUAGGUAAGGCUUACCGCCGCAUGUGGGCUGUACUCAAAGGUCUCAAUCACAACAGGCCAAUCAACGGUACGGUCCUUAAUCGACACAGUUGGAGACACUACUUUAAGACUCCAUUCUUAAAGCAAGUCCACCGACCGGUCUCAAGCUUGAACAUUAUCAACCAUAAAAGUAUUCCACAACAACCCUUCAAACUUUCUCAUUUGAAAACUUAUCUAAUAAGCAGGGCUAAGCAUACUAAGCAUUUUCAUAAAACAAGUAUCAAGGUUAAUAUGGAAAUCAUCAAGGUAGGUAAUGCAGCAAAUAGGAUUCACUCAACUCCUAUUCACCUAAUGCAUCAUAUUAACUCAAGUGAUAUAAAUAACUUUAUGAAAAUACAAGGAUAGGGUUUAAUGUCCGGGGCUUGCCUUGGCCGGAAGGGAAGUCCGACAACUCAGCAAAACCAGAUGGAUCCACAAACUCGGAAGCAACCCACUGAGGAUUAGAUUCCUCCGGAGCGUAGUCUACACGUAGAGGUGCAUAUGCAUGAUCAAUGAGAUGUUCAUGACAUGAUAAAGACAGGUUACAAGUUCUUGGAUGAUAACAACAAAUAUAACUACCUCGAGUACAACUUACCUUCACGGUAUAGAAACAAACUAACUUAGUUAUCAAAGCAUAGAUUAUUACUAAGCAAAUUUUAUCAUCUUCAUUAAGCAAGGUUGUGUAGCUAUCAGGCAACAAAGAUCAUUUAUAUGAAAUAAUCUAUAACCAAGGAGCAUAUCAUGUCAGGUAACCAUUGGUUGUCAAUCAAUCCCAAAGAUCAAACAAAACCUAAAAUGAUUAGGUUUUCUAUUUAUCUUAAUCAAUCCUUAAUUAAAUAUUAAUGGCAGUAAUUAAGUAUUAACAUCAAACAAUAAUUAAGUGCCAAAGGUCAUUGAAAGAUAAUGACCUCAGGUCAUCACCCAAUCCCAAAAGCACUCAAAUUCUAAUUUGGAAAUUAAGCAACUCAUUAUUUAAGUAAAGGCUAGCUAAAAACAAACAACUCUAUUUGCACACAUAACCAGGACAGCAGCAUAUACACAACUUCAUUCAACCAUAAUUAGAGAUCCAAACAUCCAAUAAAGGUGAUAUUAGACUUUCUGGAAAGCUUAUAUAAUUUUCUACAACUUUGUUAUUAUCUUCGAGAACUGAUUUAAUAGAUAACAUGGCCAAACAGUAUGAAUAAACAAUUCUGUCCAGACCUUGGACAGAAUCAGACAUUAAGCUUCAUACAUCUAUAACCAGAGUUCUAGAUCACCAAAAUUCAUGAUCCAUAACAUUUUGGAAAGCUUAUGAACAUUACUACAAUUCAUCUUUUAUCAUGAAAGCAUGAUUCAUAAGUUUAGUAGGUUGAAAUUGCACAACUACAGAAACUGAUCCAGAAAUCACUAAUAAUUUAAUUAUAGACAAAUAACAUUUCAUUUAUGUUUCAAACUUGGACCUGGGCAAAACCUAGCUCACCAAUAGUUGAAAUACAUCAAAGAGAUACUAGAAAAUAUCAUGGUCCUCCCUAAAUAAAUUCUUUUUAUGUCUUUAUUAAUUCAUUUAGAUAAAUAGACAAAGUAAUAACCAUAUAUCAAAAGUACACAAUAAAUUCUGAGAAAACUACAGAAGCUCAUAUAUGCUCUCCAAAGUCUACUGUAUAAAUUUCAUGCCACUUGGAUAAGUAUAGCAAUUUCCAUGAAAAAGAUAAAUUUCCAUCACAAAGAAGCAUGUAACGGCAAGAUAAAUAAGAAACUCGACAUUUUCUACAAACACAUAGCUAAAUUAUGUAUCUAUAUGAUAUAACAACCACAUAUAAAGGUACAGAAACCAUAUUUUACAUUUAUUUAUUUUUAUUUUAAUUGUAAACUAUUUAAUAAGCACUAAACAAGAUAAAUUAAUAACUUCAACAUAUAUCAUCCAAUGAAUCUAAAAACUUAACCACAACACACACACAUAAUCAUUAAUCUACCAUAAAAGUUUCAUCUUAAAAGAAGCUAUACAGCAAUAGAUAUGAAUUUCUUCCCUUUAAGCAUAAUUAAAAGACAUAAAUCAUGACUAAUUAUUUUACUACAAAACAUGGUCAGUUUCAUAUUUUUAAUAAAAACUAGACAUCUCAAGGAGCACAACAAAAUUUGGUUCACCAAAAUUGGAGUUUCCAAACUCCAGAUAUGAAUUUUCAAAGAUUUAACAAAACAUCUACAAACAAGUCCUUAUAGCACUAUUCACCUGAGUCACAGUCUCUGCAAUUAGACCCCUGGGAAACAUCAAAUUGUUGCACGAGGUCCCUAGCGCGAGCUGAAAACAGAGGAAGCUCGUCAGAGCUUGUGGUUUUGACGGUGGGAUACAUUUCUGUGGCAACGGAGUGGCGAGGAAGAGGUGCUAGGGCAUGGAAGCAUCAUGCCACACCUGUAGCUGGCCCUGGAAUGGCUAGAGACAGUCCGUCGCUCGCUGGCCACGUGCACGGGCGAACCAGUAGUGGUCGUGCCGGCGGCGAGAUGAUUCUCUGGCGGCUUCGUCGGUGCUGGUUACAAACAAUGGGUUGAUGAGCAUCACCAAGCCACAAGGAAGCAAGAGCAACACACGAGGGGGCAUGUGAUGCUCUGGAAAGGUCUGGCCACGGUGGAGGCUCCGUGGCGGCGCUUUCGGCCGAAGUUGAAAAGGAUGGAUGAAAUAGGUGCUAUGGCAGGGUAGAGCGUGCAGUAAGAGGCGCAAAAGAUCGCUGAGCUCUUGGCGAAGCUGCUGGGGUGCUCUGGUGGCGCGGAAAGGGAGCGGGCGAGGCGAAUUUUGUGAGCGCAUGGAGCUCGCCGGCGUUGAGCGUGAAAGAGAAAAGAGAGAUUGCAGCACGGUGUGGUCACGGGAAGAAGUGGAUGAGGACGCCAGGAGCUCGGCCACUUCACCGCGACCGCAAGCAGGCGAGCAACUGCGUGGCUGGGUGCGUGGCGGCGUCCUGAGCAGCAGUGUCUGUCGUGGCGGCAGUGCAGCCCGUGAUCCUCAUCGGUUACUGUAGCAGGCUUUAUCCAACCAGUUUUGUGGUUUUGCAAAAUUCGUCUAAAUUUUGAACUGAAGACAAAAUUCCACCAAAACAAAAGUUAUUCAGAAUUUUACAAACUACAAAUCUUAUUUUGGUGACCAAAGCCAAUUCUGGGUGGAAAAUGACGAAUUUGACAAAACAGUUUGAAUUUCAAAUCCCAAAUUGGGGAAAUUCCAAAUUUUGAAUUGGAGCAGAUUAGAAUUUCCAAAAUUACUUUUAAUUUUUCCAAACAACUUGAAAAACUCCCAACAUGAAAGUUGUUCAACUUUUUGAGCCCUACAACUUUCAUGUUGACCACUUUUCAAAAUUCCAAAUAGAUUUUGAAUUGGGGAUUCAAAUCGGAAAAGGGGACAAUUUCUGGAAAAUUGUAUUUUCAAAAUUACUUUAAAUUUUGUAUUGAAACUCCAAAAACUCAAAACACCAAAGUUGUACAUCUUGACAAGACCUACAACUUUUCUUUUGAACUCAACCUCAAAUUUUGCUUGGUUUUUGAAUUGCACAAAAGGGGGUAAAAACUAUGUUUGAAAUUAGGUUUUUUUUUUACCACCCUCCUUAACUAGGGAUUAAACAACCAUCAUGAGCAUCACUUCACCAGAUAAACACACUUUAAUUCCCUAAGCACAAUCAACCAAAAUAAACUUAUUUUAGGUUGAUGCAUAAUAAUGUGCUUAACAAAUAUGCUUUGCAAUGCUUAUGAUGACAUGAUCCAUUUUUAGUGUUCGUAACAUCAGGGAUGUUACAGCCCUUCCCCCUUAAAGAAAUCUCGUCCCGAGAUUUCCAGGGUACUAAAACCCGUGGGGUUGAGUAAUGGAAAAGGAAAUGUGUCAAGCACAUUAACUUCUGAGAAGUUCAUACAACAAUUACGAUUGGUCCGAGAAUUACAACUAAGAUCAACAAGAAGUUGUAAUCAAUCAGGAAUUUUUAGAGAAUUCAAAGAUAUGAAUCUCCAAAUGAGCUUCCAAGGAGGAUGAAAGCACGCUAACAGUAGAUUAUAGUGGAGCAUGACCAGAGAUCCCGAUGUUUAACGAGGACCCUGUAGUAUUUCCUUAUGGCUGCAGUCCACAGGAGACUACAAGGUUCGACGCUAUAACGUGAUCACGGAUCAUGGUACCUACUAUCGAGUACAGUUACAAUAGCUUUCAAUGAUCUAUGUUGGUUAUCCAAGUCAGGGGCUUUAGGUAAUUCCAAAGAGAUAUGGGCAUGGAUUCCCAUAAUAUAGUUCAAAGAGUGGGAUCACCUAAGUUGUGGGUCUAUAAGGGGUCAUGAUCAUAGACUUUGAUAACAGCGAGCGCCCAGCAGUAUUUCCUUAUGGUCGCGAGCCAUAGGAGACCCCAGGUUUCGGCGCUGUUACCUAAGUUAUGGGCCAUGGUACCUUAAGAGGACACAAUCAUAGUGACAUUCAAUCAACAUAAAUGUUGACAAAUGACAUCAAGGAGGUAGUAGGUGUCCGAAUUAGAUGCAAUCAAGGAAGGUCACAUGCAUAACAAAUGAAUCAAGGAUUAGGAUCUUAUGGAGUAAAAGAUUAUCAAUCAGGUAACGAAACCUGGUACAUGAUGAGAUUCAUCAAUAAAACAGCUAUAACGAAUAAUAACUGUUUUUGAAGCAUAAGGAGGGGCUUUUAAGUAUCAUUAUAUUGUCAUGUUAUGCAUGAUAUGCAAUAUGCUCGCCUAUACGUCUUCUCAACGGCGAGAGUGCUCUAUCUUCAUCAUGUUAGUAGAUUAUAGGGCUUUAUUUAUAAACUAUCUUCAUCGCUCUGGAUGGAAUGUUGCAAGACUUUUGACAAAGCAUUGUUGGAGUAGUUUGAUUCUUCACUUGGCUUGUUGAAGAAGAAUUGAAGUCCCUUUCAAUGCCUUCUAUUUGAGUCAGCAGACAGUCUUCACAGAACUCAGACAGCAAGCAUAAGAAAAGUUAAGGAACAUUUAUAAGUUGUUAUCCUCAAAACUUUUAAUUUGUAAAUUCCUUUUGAAGUUUUUCACAAGUAAUGUUGCAGAAGAUCCAUGUAUGAGCUCUGAUACCAGCUGUGACAGAACCUCCUGAAUUAAGUGGCCCACAUGCACCCAUCGUUGUCUCAAAGACUUCUGAUUGGCGUGCACGAGUUCCAAAUGACUCAAGAAGUCUGUCGGGUGUCCUCGGGAAACCCGAAUCAUCCACGUUUUAACUCAUACAGGAUCAACAUGGAGUUACCACAACAUUACAACAUUUGUUACAAAAAAAACUUACAUCAGAGUGCGGAAGAUUUAUAAUUUAAUUUACAACAUAUGAUGAAGUAUAAACUUAACUAAAUUUCCAAAAGGUGUGUAGAGUAGCGGAAGCAUCCUAGGUGAAGCUUCUAAGGUAGAAGAGGUGGAUAAAUCAUGUCGCGCCCACCGACAUGACCUCCAUUAGCAGCCUAAGUCAGCACCUGCAACCGGGGUUAUAAAACCCUGAGUACAAAAGUACUCAACAAGACUUAACCGACUAGAAAAGAGGUGAAGACUCAGGUAUGCAGGCUAUAGGGAUUUAAGGUAAGGCUUUAGCAAGAUCAAAGCAUUUCUUUUGCAUAAAAGCUUACUAAGAGUAAAACCUACUUUCAAGUUUUAACUCAAGAUCAUCAUUUAUGACUAACCAAAAUUAUUAUCAAACUUUCAUAAGCAAACCACCUCU
Molecule: long non-coding RNA, 6218 nt
Filed under: Sorghum bicolor (sorghum)
Lineage: Eukaryota; Viridiplantae; Streptophyta; Magnoliopsida; Poales; Poaceae
Description: long non-coding RNA (SBIC_LNC018569)
Source: RNAcentral